GGCUCAGAUUGAACGCUGGCGGCAGGCCUAACACAUGCAAGUCGAGCGGUAGCACAAGAGAGCUUGCUCUCUGGGUGACGAGCGGCGGACGGGUGAGUAAUGUCUGGGAAACUGCCUGAUGGCGGGGGAUAACUAGUGGAAACGGUAGCUAAUACCGCAUAACGUCGCAAGACCAAAGUGGGGGACCUUCGGGCCUCACGCCAUCAGAUGUGCCCAGGUGGGAUUAGCUGGUAGGUGGGGUAACGGCUCACCUAGGCGACGAUCCCUAGCUGGUCUGAGAGGAUGACCAGCCACACUGGAACUGAGACACGGUCCAGACUCCUACGGGAGGCAGCAGUGGGGAAUAUUGCACAAUGGGCGCAAGCCUGAUGCAGCCAUGCCGCGUGUGUGAAGAAGGCCUUCGGGUUGUAAAGCACUUUCAGCGAGGAGGAAGGGUAAUGU
This 441-nucleotide ribosomal RNA is filed under the name Serratia symbiotica. RNAcentral's name for it is "bacterial SSU rRNA". It matches the Rfam family "Bacterial small subunit ribosomal RNA", at positions 21 to 458 of the family's 1533-position model. The record is from RNAcentral. Lineage: Bacteria; Pseudomonadati; Pseudomonadota; Gammaproteobacteria; Enterobacterales; Yersiniaceae.